GAAGAGAUGGUUUUAUGUUGGGAAUCAUGAUCCUGUCUUGCUAGUGGUCACCGGUCAUGCUCCCAAACAUGCGGAUAAUUGGGUGAGCGAACCCGAGGACACCCCUGAGAUUACUAACUUGUUGACUCAAAUUGCUGAGUUGAAAUUAUUGGGUUUGACUGGCAUCAAUGUGGCUGCCAGUUUUCUCAAGCGAAAGGUUCAGCCUUUGCAACAACGAGCUCGCUCAGGCUCGGAGUACUCGGGUUUUG
Molecule: long non-coding RNA, 248 nt
Filed under: Setaria italica (foxtail millet)
Lineage: Eukaryota; Viridiplantae; Streptophyta; Magnoliopsida; Poales; Poaceae
Description: long non-coding RNA (SITA_LNC004970)
Source: RNAcentral